Molecule: ribosomal RNA, 497 nt
Filed under: uncultured bacterium
Lineage: Bacteria
Description: partial 16S ribosomal RNA
Rfam family: Bacterial small subunit ribosomal RNA
Source: RNAcentral
GAUGAACGCUGGCGGCGUGCCUAAUACAUGCAAGUCGAGCGAACGGACGAGAAGUUUGCUUUUCUGAUCUUAGCGGCGGACGGGUGAGUAACAUGUGGAUAACCUACCUACCAGACUGGGAUACCCUCGGAACACCGGAGCUUAUACCGGAUAAUCUUUUGAACCACCUGGAUCAACAGUGAAAGACGGUCUUGCUGUAUCAUCUAGCUGGCUCCGCGCUGCAUUAGCUAGUUGGUAAGGUAACGGCUUACCAAGGCAACGAUGCAUAGCCGACGUGAGAGGGUGGUCGGCCACACUGGAACGGAGACGCGGUCCAGACUCCUACGGGAGGCACCAGUAGGGAAUCGGCCGUAAUGGUCGGGAGCCUGACGGAGCAGCGCCGCGUGAGUGAUGAAGGUCUUCGGAGCGUAAAACUCGGUUAUUAGUUAAGAACAUAUGUGUAAGGAACUGUGCACAUAUUGACGGUACCUAAUCAGAAAGCCACGGCUAACUACGUG